This 3028-nucleotide ribosomal RNA is filed under the name Salmonella enterica subsp. enterica serovar Antsalova str. S01-0511. RNAcentral describes it as "bacterial LSU rRNA". It matches the Rfam family "Bacterial large subunit ribosomal RNA". Lineage: Bacteria; Pseudomonadati; Pseudomonadota; Gammaproteobacteria; Enterobacterales; Enterobacteriaceae. The record is from RNAcentral.
GGGUUGUGAGGUUAAGCGACUAAGCGUACACGGUGGAUGCCCUGGCAGUCAGAGGCGAUGAAGGACGUGCUAAUCUGCGAUAAGCGCCGGUAAGGUGAUAUGAACCGUUAUAACCGGCGAUUUCCGAAUGGGGAAACCCAGUGUGACUCGUCACACUAUCAUUAACUGAAUCCAUAGGUUAAUGAGGCGAACCGGGGGAACUGAAACAUCUAAGUACCCCGAGGAAAAGAAAUCAACCGAGAUUCCCCCAGUAGCGGCGAGCGAACGGGGAGGAGCCCAGAGCCUGAAUCAGCAUGUGUGUUAGUGGAAGCGUCUGGAAAGGCGCGCGAUACAGGGUGACAGCCCCGUACACAAAAGCGCAUGUGCUGUGAGCUCGAUGAGUAGGGCGGGACACGUGGUAUCCUGUCUGAAUAUGGGGGGACCAUCCUCCAAGGCUAAAUACUCCUGACUGACCGAUAGUGAACCAGUACCGUGAGGGAAAGGCGAAAAGAACCCCGGCGAGGGGAGUGAAAAAGAACCUGAAACCGUGUACGUACAAGCAGUGGGAGCCCCACCACUAAGCCAGUGGUGAACUCCACAUACGCAUCCUUUGCUGAGGAUACGGUUAACGGAGCGAAAGCGACGUUCAACCGCAAAAGAAGCAGAGGGGGCUUAGUGGUGGGGUGACUGCGUACCUUUUGUAUAAUGGGUCAGCGACUUAUAUUCUGUAGCAAGGUUAACCGAAUAGGGGAGCCGGAGGGAAACCGAGUCUUAAUUGGGCGUUAAGUUGCAGGGUAUAGACCCGAAACCCGGUGAUCUAGCCAUGGGCAGGUUGAAGGUUGGGUAACACUAACUGGAGGACCGAACCGACUAAUGUUGAAAAAUUAGCGGAUGACCUGUGGCUGGGGGUGAAAGGCCAAUCAAACCGGGAGAUAGCUGGUUCUCCCCGAAAGCUAUUUAGGUAGCGCCUCGUGAAUUCAUCUCCGGGGGUAGAGCACUGUUUCGGCUAGGGGGCCAUCCCGGCUUACCAACCCGAUGCAAACUGCGAAUACCGGAGAAUGUUAUCACGGGAGACACACGGCGGGUGCUAACGUCCGUCGUGAAGAGGGAAACAACCCAGACCGCCAGCUAAGGUCCCAAAGUCAUGGUUAAGUGGGAAACGAUGUGGGAAGGCCCAGACAGCCAGGAUGUUGGCUUAGAAGCAGCCAUCAUUUAAAGAAAGCGUAAUAGCUCACUGGUCGAGUCGGCCUGCGCGGAAGAUGUAACGGGGCUAAACCAUGCACCGAAGCUGCGGCAGCGACACUCAGGUGUUGUUGGGUAGGGGAGCGUUCUGUAAGCCUGCGAAGGUGGCCUGUGAGGGUUGCUGGAGGUAUCAGAAGUGCGAAUGCUGACAUAAGUAACGAUAAAGCGGGUGAAAAGCCCGCUCGCCGGAAGACCAAGGGUUCCUGUCCAACGUUAAUCGGGGCAGGGUGAGUCGACCCCUAAGGCGAGGCCGAAAGGCGUAGUCGAUGGGAAACGGGUUAAUAUUCCCGUACUUGGUGUUACUGCGAAGGGGGGACGGAGAAGGCUAUGUUGGCCGGGCGACGGUUGUCCCGGUUUAAGCGUGUAGGUGUGUGUUCCAGGUAAAUCCGGUUCACUUUAACACUGAGGCGUGAUGACGAGGCACUACGGUGCUGAAGCAACAAAUGCCCUGCUUCCAGGAAAAGCCUCUAAGCAUCAGGUAACAUCAAAUCGUACCCCAAACCGACACAGGUGGUCAGGUAGAGAAUACCAAGGCGCUUGAGAGAACUCGGGUGAAGGAACUAGGCAAAAUGGUGCCGUAACUUCGGGAGAAGGCACGCUGACACGUAGGUGAAGUGAUUUACUCAUGGAGCUGAAGUCAGUCGAAGAUACCAGCUGGCUGCAACUGUUUAUUAAAAACACAGCACUGUGCAAACACGAAAGUGGACGUAUACGGUGUGACGCCUGCCCGGUGCCGGAAGGUUAAUUGAUGGGGUCAGCGCAAGCGAAGCUCCUGAUCGAAGCCCCGGUAAACGGCGGCCGUAACUAUAACGGUCCUAAGGUAGCGAAAUUCCUUGUCGGGUAAGUUCCGACCUGCACGAAUGGCGUAAUGAUGGCCAGGCUGUCUCCACCCGAGACUCAGUGAAAUUGAACUCGCUGUGAAGAUGCAGUGUACCCGCGGCAAGACGGAAAGACCCCGUGAACCUUUACUAUAGCUUGACACUGAACAUUGAGCCUUGAUGUGUAGGAUAGGUGGGAGGCUUUGAAGUGUGGACGCCAGUCUGCAUGGAGCCGGCCUUGAAAUACCACCCUUUAAUGUUUGAUGUUCUAACGUGGACCCGUAAUCCGGGUUGCGGACAGUGUCUGGUGGGUAGUUUGACUGGGGCGGUCUCCUCCUAAAGAGUAACGGAGGAGCACGAAGGUUGGCUAAUCCUGGUCGGACAUCAGGAGGUUAGUGCAAUGGCAUAAGCCAGCUUGACUGCGAGCGUGACGGCGCGAGCAGGUGCGAAAGCAGGUCAUAGUGAUCCGGUGGUUCUGAAUGGAAGGGCCAUCGCUCAACGGAUAAAAGGUACUCCGGGGAUAACAGGCUGAUACCGCCCAAGAGUUCAUAUCGACGGCGGUGUUUGGCACCUCGAUGUCGGCUCAUCACAUCCUGGGGCUGAAGUAGGUCCCAAGGGUAUGGCUGUUCGCCAUUUAAAGUGGUACGCGAGCUGGGUUUAGAACGUCGUGAGACAGUUCGGUCCCUAUCUGCCGUGGGCGCUGGAGAACUGAGGGGGGCUGCUCCUAGUACGAGAGGACCGGAGUGGACGCAUCACUGGUGUUCGGGUUGUCAUGCCAAUGGCACUGCCCGGUAGCUAAAUGCGGAAGAGAUAAGUGCUGAAAGCAUCUAAGCACGAAACUUGCCCCGAGAUGAGUUCUCCCUGAGACUUUAGGUCUCCUGAAGGAACGUUGAAGACGACGACGUUGAUAGGCCGGGUGUGUAAGCGCAGCGAUGCGUUGAGCUAACCGGUACUAAUGAACCGUGAGGCUUAACCUUACAACGCCGAAG